RNAcentral lists this ribosomal RNA (551 nucleotides) under uncultured bacterium. RNAcentral's name for it is "bacterial SSU rRNA". It matches the Rfam family "Bacterial small subunit ribosomal RNA", at positions 355 to 897 of the family's 1533-position model. The record is from RNAcentral.
UGGGGAAUUUUGGACAAUNUNGCGCAAGCCUGAUCCAGCCAUGCCGCGUGUCUGAAGAAGGCCUUCGGGUUGUAAAGGACUUUUGUCAGGGAAGAAAAGGACAGGGUUAAUACCUCUGUUUGAUGACGGUACCUGAAGAAUAAGCACCGGCUAACUACGUGCCAGCAGCCGCGGUAAUACGUAGGGUGCGAGCGUUAAUCGGAAUUACUGGGCGUAAAGCGAGCGCAGACGGUUACUUAAGCAGGAUGUGAAAUCCCCGGGCUCAACCUGGGAACUGCGUUCUGAACUGGGUGACUAGAGUGUGUCAGAGGGAGGUAGAAUUCCACGUGUAGCAGUGAAAUGCGUAGAGAUGUGGAGGAAUACCGAUGGCGAAGGCAGCCUCCUGGGAUAACACUGACGUUCAUGCUCGAAAGCGUGGGUAGCAAACAGGAUUAGAUACCCUGGUAGUCCACGCCCUAAACGAUGUCAAUUAGCUGUUGGGCAACUUGAUUGCUUAGUAGCGUAGCUAACGCGUGAAAUUGACCGCCUGGGGAGUACGGUCGCAAGAUUAA